Molecule: ribosomal RNA, 89 nt
Filed under: Klebsiella pneumoniae
Lineage: Bacteria; Pseudomonadati; Pseudomonadota; Gammaproteobacteria; Enterobacterales; Enterobacteriaceae
Also listed under: 1 other name
Description: partial 23S ribosomal RNA
Rfam family: Bacterial large subunit ribosomal RNA (bases 1-77)
Source: RNAcentral
GGCGUUGAUAGGCCGGGUGUGUAAGCGCAGCGAUGCGUUGAGCUAACCGGUACUAAUGAACCGUGAGGCUUAACCUUACAACGCCGAAG